GUGAGAUGUGUGUGCAAAAUUGUUGGUGAUAUUUACAUGGAAUUUCAAUCAUUUAUUUUCCGGGAGACAUAAAAACAUAACAAACAAAACAGACACCAAACCAAAGAAGAAAAAAAAGGAAGGAAGGAAGGAAACAAUCAAGAAACCCAUAACAGAACAGAGAGAGAAAUCAUUAAACAAACAUUUAAUACCGGAAAAUUAAAUGGCAGAGCAGACCAGAGAGCUCUCUUCUUUUUGCAGUUUUAUUAGUCAGAUUCCGAGAAGCCAUUCCCACACAAAAGGGACUUUGCGGGCGGACCUGCGGUUCGUUCAAAUCCUGAGCACUGAGAUAUUAAAAUAUCAAAACAAGAGGCACGGCACUCGUCUGGCCCUGGCAAUCAAACAAAACUCCACUCCUGUCAAGAUGCCAAAUAAACACAUGUGCGUGUGCAGUCUUGCGCAUGUAUGUGGCAUGCAACAGCAAAACUUUUAUCAAUUAACUCUGGCAACAAAUUGAAUUCUUAAGAGUUCGAUGCCGCCGGCCAGCCAUAGCCAGGGCAGCCAUGGAAAUUAAAAACAAUUAAAUAUUUGAUAUAACA
This is a long non-coding RNA of Drosophila pseudoobscura, 578 nucleotides long. RefSeq lists it as uncharacterized. Lineage: Eukaryota; Metazoa; Arthropoda; Insecta; Diptera; Drosophilidae. The transcript has 2 exons. The record is from RefSeq and is a predicted model, not a curated record.